This is a long non-coding RNA of Cyprinus carpio carpio, 1049 nucleotides long. Lineage: Eukaryota; Metazoa; Chordata; Actinopteri; Cypriniformes; Cyprinidae. The record is from Ensembl.
UUAAGUAAAAUAUGCAAAAUAUAAUAUUGUAGAAAUAUAAAGUGAUAGACUGAGACUGCAGUUUCACAUUUUGCAUCUGCAUAACAAAGUGAAUUAUUUUAAACAUGCAAUAAUUAGAAAUAAAACCAAACAAGAUCACAUCUCUUGCACGUCUCACCCAGCAGCAUGUGUGCCGAACACACAAAAUCUUGCUCUCUGUAGGCCAUGCAUGCAGAACAGACAGCGACAAGAGUUAUUUGACACACAUAAAAGGUUUAAAUAAGAUAAUAUUGACAAUGAACAUUAUAUGACAUUUAAAAAUAGUUUUGGUGAUUUGUCCUACAGUCCGCCUGUUCUUACCCGUACAGCAAAAGCGGGCUAAAUCUUGUUAAGUGUUAAAUUUCUAAAAUGCUAUUAGAAUGAAUUCAUUUCUAAAAUAUUAUAAUACAGAAAGCAUGAAAAAGAUCACAGCAGUAGACCUUUAUCAGUCAUCAGCAAUGUAGUAAACACGUGUGCUGGUAUGCAUAUGAUUUAAUAUGAAGCAUCCGUAACGGUCACGUCCGUAAUGCAUUAUUACCCGUAGGAAAAAUGUAUUGCUCAGUGGUUGCUCUUUCUAACCUCAGGAGACUUAGUUGUGAUUCUCAUGUAUUUCUCAUUUUAGUCUCAACAGUGUCUCAGAUGUUUCUCAUAAAAAUCCUUAGGAGAAAUAAUAGUAGACACAACUGAGACAUGAGAAAGUUCUGAAAGAAAGGAAUCCUAAAUGACAAUGAGAGAGAAACGUGUGAGAAACAUGGGAGAUCUCUUUACUGUCUCGCUGUAAUCUCUUGAAAGACUCCAUUAUAAAAAAUAUUUUACUGCUCAGAGGUUGCUGUUGAUUUAUUUUAUUUCAAUGGGGUUUUUCACCUUUAAUGCUGAGGACAGGUGGAGUAGAGACAGGAAACAACUGGACAGGUGAGAAUUGAACAUGAGCAAGAAAGUAAAUUAGCUGGGAUUCAAACCCAUGUUGUCUGAGGUGCAGUUGUGCUUCACGUCUUGAGAUAUCAGCUUUGUCUUCAGUUUUAUUUUACGAG